GCCGGUCCUAUUCUUUAUUAGGAGCGCUUCUCUUCUGUGACACCGUUUCGCGCAAGUAGAAAGACAAGCCACACGCUCCACAGUCCACACAAAAUUAAAAGCACCUUUUGCCCUUUGGAAACCUAAAAGGCUAAUUAAGAAAUGGCUCUGUGGUAAUGGUACACCACACACUGAAUUUUCAUGUACUACCUUAACAAGUUAGCGAGCUUAGUAAACACAGUUAUGUCAGCGUCAUGACAGGGCGACACGUGCGUAUAAACCAGCUGAUGAUUCAGUCACAUUGAUAUAUACGGAGUAGGUAUUAUUUGAGGGUGUAAACUGUGAAGGAAUCAUGCGACAUGCAUGGCAAUUUGUGGUAAGUAGCCGAUGUAUUUGCUGGUCCCAUUUCCAGCAGCGAACUGAUGCAACUUGUGUUUUCUUUUUUCUCUUUUCGCCCCUAUAUCCCUUGAUUAGGCCUUGUUU
Molecule: long non-coding RNA, 462 nt
Filed under: Sorghum bicolor (sorghum)
Lineage: Eukaryota; Viridiplantae; Streptophyta; Magnoliopsida; Poales; Poaceae
Description: long non-coding RNA (SBIC_LNC003518)
Source: RNAcentral